UGAGGCUGGGCCCCACGCUCUUUGGCUACCCAUCUGGGAAGUGUGUGUGUGUGUGUGUGUGUGUGUGUGUGUGUGUGUGUGUUAGGGUGAACCCACGCACCUGCUUAAGCUAAGAUUUAGUAUUCACUCCUGUUCUUGUCACACACACUCACAUACACACACACACACACACACACACACACACACACACACACACACACACAGACACGCACUCACAGGCCAGAGUGACGUCAUGUGGGUGUGCACUGGGGUACCUAUGAAUGAGAGCACAGGCAUUGAAAAUACUAGCCCCUCAUCCAACAGCCUGAGUGUGAGGGUCCACUGGUUCUGGGGCCCUCCGGGCAUGACCCAAUGUAUGUCAUGUUUGUGGCCACAUAUCCUCUGUGGGUUUGUACUUAUCAACACGCCUGCAUCUCUGGGUGUAUAAUUCAAUUUGUGCAUCUGAUCAUCGGUGUUUGCAUCUCCAACAGACUAGAGGUAUGUUCUUCUGCUCUCCACUGAUUCUUUUGCUUCGGUACUAGGAAAAGGUCUGGGUCUGGCAUGCUCUCCCAGGAAUCUAGAGCCCCUGCCGUAGCUAAAAGGGAUGAAUCACCGCUGUGUUCUCAAUGAGCUCUUAAUCUAGGGGCACAAAAGGCUCCCUCCGCUUUGGCCUCCAGGAUCCUCGUCAUUUUCUCAGGACGUACUUCUUAUGUUUUGUUCAGAGGAGGGAACUGUAAAAAGGACCCCAGCCAAGACAUAAAGCGAAGGGACAUUUAGUUACAGUUCUGCUAACAGCUGGUCAUGUGGCUUUGUACAGGCCAGUCUCCUGUUGGUAGUGAUUCCUCAUGAGCUGUCCAGUUUUUCUCGUCCAGAAUGACAAUUGGCUGACUCUAUAAUUCUUCUCAUACACAUUAUUUCCUGUCAUCUCCUUGGCCACCUCACUGGGUGCAUGUUACUGCCCCAGCUGAGAAGGGUGUGGAGAGAAGUAUAAAGACUGGAUUCAGUCUGCCAGGCCGCUCGACUGGGAGGCCCCUCCUUACCCUUUCCUGCUGACAGGGCCAUCGAUCAAAGAGGAAGCUGUCGGAAAGCAAAGAGGCGAAGCUGUGAGGCUGCCAGGCCGGGGAGCAAUAAUGUGUGGGCCUCUGAGAUCACAGGCUGCAUGAGGUCAGGCAAAGCCUAGACUCAAGGAGCAACGGGGGAUUGAUAUGUCCCAGAGUGGGAUCCAAGUCAGCAUGCUCGCUGGCCCCUCUGUGGCAUUCCCAUGGAGCACAGAGACCUUUACCAGAUGCCCGAAACAUCUCCUGGCUUCCCCAGCCUGCAGAACUGUGCCCACAGCACGUCCUCAACGGUGACAAUUACAUGCCCAGGGUCAAGGAGCCCAGGACUCUAGCUGCCAGCCAUAAGGUAUGCCAUCCAUUGGACUCUAGCUCAUUCCAGGAUUUCCACGAUGCAGAUAUGGCCAGCAGCACCCAGGAACCCCAGACGUGUGCCCCUCGGAAACUGUGUGAGGUGGUCCCUAGUUGUUUUCAGCGACUGAGUUUUAUGAUACCUGGUGUGAAUCAACAUGUAACAGUGCCAGCUUCCAGUACCCUGCUGUCUCCUCCGGCCCACCCCCUCAGAAGAGAAUCUGGACACAGUGCAGACGGCAGGCCCCACUGGGAUCCAGUUCAAGACUGGACAUUGGCAGCUCCUACACCAGGUCGUCUUAAGAACAACUAAAAGCACCACAAAAAAUCCCUCCUUUUUCUCUUUGACUGGCCUCCUGGAGCUCGGCCUGGUGCCUGGCUGUGGGUCUCUGCAUCUGCUUCCAUCAGUUACUCUAUGGUUCUAUGGUGAUAAUUGAGUAUUCACCAAUCUGAUUACUGGGGUAGGCCAGUUCAGGCACCCUCUCCUCUAUUGCUAGUAGUCUAAGCUGGGGUCAUCCCUGUGGAUUCCUGGGAACUUCCCCAGCACCCGGUUCCUCCCUAUUCCCAUGAUGUCUCCCUCUAUCACGGCAUCUCUUUCAUUGCUCUCCCACUCCAUCCCUGUUCCAGCUUAAGAUCAUGAUGAGGAAAUCUAUAGAGACAACCAAACCAAACUGGUGGGAACUCAUGAAAUUUAGACCAACACCUGUGGAGCCUCCACGAGUCUGGACUAGGCCCUCUGCAUAAGUGAGAGAGUUGUGUAGCUUGAUCUGCUUAAGGGGCCCCCUGGCAGUGGAAUCAGGAUCCAUCCCUGGUGAAUGAGCAGGCUUUUUGGAGUCCACUGCCUAUGGUGGGAUACCUCACACAGCCUUGAGGCAGGGGGAGGGGCUUGGACCUGCCUCUGCUGACUCUCCAUGGGAGGCCUUGCCUUCUUGU
Molecule: long non-coding RNA, 2318 nt
Organism: Peromyscus californicus insignis
Lineage: Eukaryota; Metazoa; Chordata; Mammalia; Rodentia; Cricetidae
Exons: 3
Source: RefSeq, a predicted model, not a curated record